RNAcentral lists this ribosomal RNA (253 nucleotides) under uncultured bacterium. Its description in RNAcentral is "partial 16S ribosomal RNA". It matches the Rfam family "Bacterial small subunit ribosomal RNA", at positions 524 to 776 of the family's 1533-position model. The record is from RNAcentral.
UACGAAGGGGGCUAGCGUUGUUCGGAUUUACUGGGCGUAAAGCGCACGUAGGCGGAUUGUUAAGUCGGGGGUGAAAUCCUGGAGCUCAACUUCAGAAUUGCCUUCGAUACUGGCUUUCUAGAAGCUGGAAGAGGUUAGUGGAAUUCCCAGUGUAGAGGUGAAAUUCGUAGAUAUUGGGAAGAACACCAGUGGCGAAGGCGGCUAACUGGUCCAGAUCUGACGCUGAGGUGCGAAAGCGUGGGGAGCAAACAGG